RNAcentral lists this long non-coding RNA (1178 nucleotides) under Monodelphis domestica (gray short-tailed opossum). Its description in RNAcentral is "lncRNA (ENSMODG00000050969.1)". Lineage: Eukaryota; Metazoa; Chordata; Mammalia; Didelphimorphia; Didelphidae. The record is from RNAcentral.
AGGGACGACCCCCCCACCCCGCUUUUCCCUCAGUCGGCUCUCUCUCCCAAUGACGUCGGCCAGGCUUCACAGUGCUCUUUCCUUGUUAUUGACAACUCCGCCCCGGCUCUCGCCCCGCCCCCCCGGCCUCUAUUUAAGAUUCAUCAUCAAUAGUUAGUGCCUCCUUCUGGUCUGUCUACACUGUACCAUCCCCCUCCCCACAGUCCCCCACUCCCUCCCUUCCUCUUCACCACCCGGCCAUCCUAACCCCCAAGUGCGCGUGCCCGUCCUCCCCAGCCCUACUCUCUCUCCUCCCUCCCUUCCCCACCACCAAGUCGGAGCCAUCCCACGCGCGCGCGCUCGAUCCUGGCUGUCUGGAGUCAGUUGCUCCAGCGCCCGCGCGCGCUGGUCUGUCCCUGCCCCUGCCCCUGCUGCCGCUGCUGCCGACGCAGGGGCCGCCGGGGCCUCGUCCUACCGCCACCAGCGGAGCGCGAGCGUCGGGAGCCAGGCGCGCGGCCCCCUGCCCAGGCUCAGCCAGCCAGAAUACACCCAGUAUGUGUGAACAGUUCUGCAGAGUCUUCAGGAAUGUUGACUGUUUGCCAGACCAGAAAAAUGUACUUUUGACUGUAAGACUGUUAAAUUCCUGGACCAUCUAUCUUCCCUGAAGGACUUCAAAUGAAUCUUUACAAGCUAACUAUAGUGAUAGACUAAGAAUGACCUACCAAGGUAUGUAGGGUAUUAGUAUAACAAUUCACAAAUUUUUCUAAUGACUUGGAAUUUUAUUAACAACUUUUCCUAAAUUGUGGCACAUAUCAUGACUUUUUAAAUGAAAGGCCUUGUUUUCAAUGGACUUUAGUUAUAUGAGCAGCUUUUACAUAACCCGGGGCAGUCUAAAAUUUCAUUCCUAAUUUAUUCAGUCCCUCAUCUUAAUACAACUCCUUUUAUAUUCUUAUGUUACCAUGUCCCAUAUUUUAAGGGCCUGCUUGCCAAUUGAGAUAAUUGCUUGCAUAUGAUUUAACACAACCUAAAUCAGCUAUUAAAAAAAAACAACAUGCAAAGUUGGAAGGAAAAAAAGACAGGUUGCCAUUUCUAAGUGGUUGUCUGGCUCUUCUCUUAAUGCCAAUUGCUACUCUGUAAAAUUUAACCAAUGAUACCACAGAUCUUUUUUCAUUAUCCAAUAAAUUUUCCUGUUACCUUCA